AGAUGAGGCAACUGAGGCAUAAUCAUUUUAUACAAGAGGUACACUGCGUUCUGGUUGAAAUAGUUUCUGCUGCAGCAAAUGCUACACCAGGUCUUGGAAGAUACCCUCCAUUCAAGAGAGAGGUAUGGUUUUAAGAAUGAGGCAAAGAAAAUGGUUGUUGCACUAGUUGAUAUGGAGCGAGCUUUUGUGCCCCCCCAACAUUUCAUCCGUUUGGUGCAA
Long non-coding RNA from Juglans regia (Persian walnut), 219 nucleotides. RefSeq lists it as uncharacterized. The transcript has 3 exons. Lineage: Eukaryota; Viridiplantae; Streptophyta; Magnoliopsida; Fagales; Juglandaceae. The record is from RefSeq and is a predicted model, not a curated record.